UAAAACAGUUGAGCUCCCAGCGCUCACCUUACACAGGAUAAAGCAUUCAGAAUAGCUAAUGUGCUCUCCAUAGGUGAAAAGUUUGUUUACUCCGGAGGAAGAGAUUCUGCCUACUCUAAGAAGUUUUAACAAUACAACCAUUUCACAACAGUAACUGGUGCUUAUGUUAUCUUAGCCGUAAUCAUAGAGAGAACUGAACAGAGAUGAACCUUAGAAGAUUUAAGAAGGGCAACUCUUGCAUCUAGGGAGGAACAACCACGUCCAUCUGUACAGAUUAGAGGAUAAACUGUUGGAGAAGCUCUCUGCACAGAAGGACCUGGGUGUCACGGGGGACAACAGCAACAGGACAAGAAGGAACAGGCACUGGAACUUCCAUCUGAACGUGAGGAGAAUCGUCUUUACUGUGAAGGUGAUAACAGACAGGAACAGCUGCCCAGAGAGGUCAUGAAGUUUACUCCUAUGGAGAUACAGAAGACUCACCUGGAUGCUCUCCUGUACAGCCUGCUGUAGGGAACCUGCUUCAGCAGGGGCUGGACUAGGUGAUCUCCAGAGGUCCCUUCCAAUUGCUACAAUUCUGUAAUAGCCCUAAUGAGACUGUGAUGGCACUUAAUUACAGUGGAUCACUGGUGAUGAGCUGCAGAAGGGAGAGUCACAAAGUGAGGCAGCCAUUGAUGAAGUCCUACCUUCUGGCCAUGCUCAGUCAACGUGCUGACUUACAAAUACUAUUAUCACAUGUUAUUCUAUAUGCCCACCAGAUGGGACCAUCAGAUAACCUCUGGCUCUGCCUGGAAGAUGUGCAGCUUUGGGACAAUUUGCACCAUCUGUGCAAAUAGCAGAAAUGCAAAAUAUUUUUCUUUUUUUUUUUGUUUUUAAUUACAAGUGUAUAAACACUAAUCAUACAGCACUCCACACAGCCUGGAGCAGAUUUAAUAGAAUUAUUAAUACUGCCACAAGGCAGACAUCAGAUCAACUCUCAGAAGGCAUAAUGUAAGUGCUGGUACUGUUUUUGAGGAAAAAUUGUUUCUCUGGUAAUGAAGAGAUCCAUUAACUUUGCUGGUCUCUUUCAUUUCACCUGCAAAAACCAUAAACAAAGCCCAAGCUGUAUGGAUGCUUCAUUGCUAAUGCAUCAAACUGCUUUGGAAUUUCUAAAGGAAACAAGCUUGGAAAGAAAACACUCUAUUUACCUCAGCAAACUCAGCAAAUUGGUAAAGGCCAAUUAAAGACAACUAAUCUUGUAAGACCAAAAAAACCGAGAACCUUUUAUUUCCAGUUACAUUUAAUGUUUUACUUAUAAAUGCUCCCUUUUAGGGGUCAGUCGAAUAGACACAAUGUAAAACAGGACUACUACUUUGAAUACUCCUUGACAUUCCUUGUUAAAGAUUCAUUAAUAUUCCUCGUCAUGUUUGCUGUAAAAAAUACAAAAAGUACUUAAAAAGUAAAUGAUGAUGCUGGUCUAAUAAUUCUCCUUUAGCCUACGUAGUAGUUACCAUUAGGGAAAGACAUUAGGGAAAUACCAUUAGGGACAGUAUAUUCUGUUCUAUUUGCUACUCUUGCUGAAAGGUUCGAAUCUUAGAGAGUAGUAAAUUUUGAUUUUCAAAAAGGAAAUAAAAACUAAUUAGUGCAAGUAGAUUGACAUCAAGCAUUCUGGGGAGUACAAUGGCCACCAUCAGCUUCUA
Molecule: long non-coding RNA, 1676 nt
Organism: Tympanuchus pallidicinctus (lesser prairie-chicken)
Lineage: Eukaryota; Metazoa; Chordata; Aves; Galliformes; Phasianidae
Exons: 2
Source: RefSeq, a predicted model, not a curated record